This 253-nucleotide ribosomal RNA is filed under the name uncultured bacterium. RNAcentral's name for it is "partial 16S ribosomal RNA". It matches the Rfam family "Bacterial small subunit ribosomal RNA", at positions 524 to 776 of the family's 1533-position model. The record is from RNAcentral.
UACGUAGGGUGCGAGCGUUAAUCGGAAUUACUGGGCGUAAAGCGUGCGCAGGCGGUUUUGUAAGCCAGAUGUGAAAUCCCCGGGCUUAACCUGGGAAUGGCAUUUGGGACUGCAAGGCUCGAGUGCGGCAGAGGAGACUGGAAUUCCUGGUGUAGCAGUGAAAUGCGUAGAGAUCGGGAAGAACAUCGGUGGCGAAAGCGCUCUACUGGACCGCAACUGACACUCAGGGACGAAAGCUAGGGGAGCGAAUGGG